ACUUAAAUUGAAGAGUUUGAUCAUGGCUCAGAUUGAACGCUGGCGGCAGGCCUAACACAUGCAAGUCGAGCGGUAGCACAGAGAGCUUGCUCUCGGGUGACGAGCGGCGGACGGGUGAGUAAUGUCUGGGAAACUGCCUGAUGGAGGGGGAUAACUACUGGAAACGGUAG
Molecule: ribosomal RNA, 170 nt
Filed under: Klebsiella pneumoniae
Lineage: Bacteria; Pseudomonadati; Pseudomonadota; Gammaproteobacteria; Enterobacterales; Enterobacteriaceae
Description: partial 16S ribosomal RNA
Rfam family: Bacterial small subunit ribosomal RNA
Source: RNAcentral